This is a non-coding RNA of Lolium perenne, 282 nucleotides long. The record is from RefSeq and is a predicted model, not a curated record. Lineage: Eukaryota; Viridiplantae; Streptophyta; Magnoliopsida; Poales; Poaceae.
AGUUCGAUGCACUUUGUGGGGUGGUUCGAGCAACAGAGGUUUCCUCACUGAGUAAUGAUAUCCUUGCACGCAUCGUUGAAAGCUCCACAAAUGCUCGUUAUGAGUUUGCCCAGAAGGAACUGCAAAGGAAAUGGAUGAUAUGUGCUGCUGCAGCAGGUGGUUUCUCUGUUGGAUGCUUGAUGAGUACAAGGAAGAAAAAAGCUCUGGAACGGAACUGAUGAGAACCUCCCAGUAUAAAUAUGAUGUGAUAAGGUUCAGGCCCUGGGAUAUGUAGCUUAUUUA